GGGGAUGUGGCUCAGUGGUAGAGCUCUUGCCUGACAUGCAUGAGGCCCUGCAUUUGAUCCCCA
This 63-nucleotide transfer RNA is filed under the name Ictidomys tridecemlineatus (thirteen-lined ground squirrel). RNAcentral's name for it is "Spermophilus tridecemlineatus (thirteen-lined ground squirrel) tRNA". It matches the Rfam family "tRNA". From Rfam's summary of the family: Transfer RNA (tRNA) molecules are approximately 80 nucleotides in length. The record is from Rfam by way of RNAcentral. Lineage: Eukaryota; Metazoa; Chordata; Mammalia; Rodentia; Sciuridae.